AUUCACACAACAAGUCCUUCUC
This 22-nucleotide non-coding RNA is filed under the name Arabidopsis thaliana (thale cress). The record is from RNAcentral. Lineage: Eukaryota; Viridiplantae; Streptophyta; Magnoliopsida; Brassicales; Brassicaceae.